RNAcentral lists this ribosomal RNA (292 nucleotides) under uncultured bacterium. RNAcentral's name for it is "partial 16S ribosomal RNA". It matches the Rfam family "Bacterial small subunit ribosomal RNA", at positions 505 to 796 of the family's 1533-position model. The record is from RNAcentral.
GUGUCAGCAGCCGCGGUAAUACAGAGGUCUCAAGCGUUGUUCGGAUUCAUUGGGCGUAAAGGGUGCGUAGGCGGCGCGGUAAGUCGGGUGUGAAAUCUCGGAGCUUAACUCCGAAACUGCAUUCGAUACUGCCGUGCUUGAGGACUGGAGAGGAGACUGGAAUUUACGGUGUAGCGGUGAAAUGCGUAGAUAUCGUAAGGAAGACCAGUGGCGAAGGCGGGUCUCUGGACAGUUCCUGACGCUGAGGCACGAAGGUCAGGGGAGCAAACGGGAUUAGAUACCCGCGUAGUCC